RNAcentral lists this long non-coding RNA (421 nucleotides) under Equus caballus (horse). RNAcentral's name for it is "lncRNA (ENSECAG00000054008.1)". Lineage: Eukaryota; Metazoa; Chordata; Mammalia; Perissodactyla; Equidae. The record is from RNAcentral.
CGUCCAUCCAGGGAGCACUCCAGAUGAGCCCCUGCAGGAGACUCGAUGUGCCCUGAAGUCUUUCUGUUCAUCCAGAAGGAACUUGGCGUGGGGGGAUUCCCGGCGAGGAGGCUUCUGGAUGAAGGACAGACGGUGGGCAUUGUCAACCAGCACAUCCCUUGGAGAUUUCUGGUCCCAAAAAGCAUCACAGGGCACUUUGUACAGAACGGGAUUGUCACUCUGAUGAGCGCAGAAGUCUCUUAACUUCCAAAUGAGCUGUCUUCCGGGCCCCUGGGAAACCAUAAUGUAAGUGGUGCCAGGCUUCCAGGAAUGGCCAGAAAGCUGCUUCACUUGAGGGUGGCCGAGGAUUUGCUCAUGUGAAAUGAAAACAAUAGACAUCGAUACUAGUUGCAAUACCAGUAAUUUUUUAGCAGAAAAAUAA